GACGAACGCUGGCGGCGUGCUUAACACAUGCAAGUCGAACGGAAAGGCCCUGCUUUUGGGGGGUGCUCGAAUGGCGAACGGGUGAGUAACACGUGAGUAACCUGCCCUUGACUUUGGGAUAACUUCAGGAAACUGGGGCUAAUACCGGAUAGGAGCUCCUGCGGCAGGGGGGGGGUUGGAAAGUUUGGGCGGGUGGGGAUGGACUCGCGGCUUAUCAGCUUGUUGGUGGGGUAGUGGCUUACCAAGGCUUUGACGGGUAGCCGGCCUGAGAGGGUGACCGGCCACAUUGGGACUGAGAUACGGCCCAGACUCCUACGGGAGGCAGCAGUGGGGAAUAUUGCACAAUGGGCGGAAGCCUGAUGCAGCAACGCCGCGUGCGGGAUGACGGCCUUCGGGUUGUAAACCGCUUUCGCCUGUGACGAAGCGUGAGUGACGGUAAUGGGUAAAGAAGCACCGGCUAACUACGUG
RNAcentral lists this ribosomal RNA (468 nucleotides) under uncultured bacterium. Its description in RNAcentral is "partial 16S ribosomal RNA". It matches the Rfam family "Bacterial small subunit ribosomal RNA", at positions 28 to 507 of the family's 1533-position model. The record is from RNAcentral.